This 363-nucleotide ribosomal RNA is filed under the name uncultured Glomeraceae. RNAcentral's name for it is "partial large subunit ribosomal RNA". Lineage: Eukaryota; Fungi; Glomeromycota; Glomeromycetes; Glomerales; Glomeraceae. The record is from RNAcentral.
CAGUCGUACCGACGAGAAAUCAGCUUAUCGUGUGUUAACUUGUGGGCGUGCGUGAGUUUCGGCCUCGCUGUUUGCAUGUUUGUGCGCUUUGGGUGUACUUUUUCGUAUGGUUGGCCAACAUCAGUUUCGAUCACUAUAAAAUGACUGGCGGAAUGUAGCUUCGAUUUCGGUUGAAGUGUUAUAGCCUCUGGUAGAUGUGGUGAUUGGGACUGAGGAUUGCAACGAAUAUCCUUUGGGCUAUCCGUCCGGCCCCUGAAAGUUGCUUGGGUGCUGAAAGCUUGCUUAUGGUUAUCUAAGUUAACGGUCAAUAGGUUAGAACGUGAUUACAUUCGUUAAGGAUGUUGGCGUAAUGGCUUUAAACGA